AAAACUUUCAACAACGGAUCUCUUGGUUCUGGCAUCGAUGAAGAACGCAGCGAAAUGCGAUAAGUAAUGUGAAUUGCAGAAUUCAGUGAAUCAUCGAAUCUUUGAACGCACAUUGCGCCCGCCAGCAUUCUGGCGGGCAUGCCUG
RNAcentral lists this ribosomal RNA (145 nucleotides) under Cordyceps farinosa. RNAcentral describes it as "partial 5.8S ribosomal RNA". It matches the Rfam family "5.8S ribosomal RNA". From Rfam's summary of the family: 5.8S ribosomal RNA (5.8S rRNA) is a component of the large subunit of the eukaryotic ribosome. The record is from RNAcentral. Lineage: Eukaryota; Fungi; Ascomycota; Sordariomycetes; Hypocreales; Cordycipitaceae.